CUGCUGUUGGUUCUCUGACUGGAAGUAUCUCUGGUUUUCUGGAUUAUUCCUAAUCCUGUCCCAGGAGUGUUUUCUCUGAGGAGACUCGGUGUCUGUCUUCUGUGAAGUGGACAAAUUUAGUCCAACGAUCACCAUGAAUUCCAGGGCCUAUUACCCCAGGAACUUAUCAGCAUGACAUUUUAUCUAAAAGUCACGGAUUCAUUAUCGGACAAGGAAAUGGUCAGAGACCUUCUGCGAGCGUGUAUGGUGUCUGGCUUCGGAACCUCACUGUGACUUCAGGUAAGAUUUGUAUUUAAUUAACGUCAUUUGUCUGUACCAGUUGUGUUUUUGACACAUGCAUUGGCAGGAAAAAAAUAAAUAAAUAAUUAGUCAUAACAUGUACAACAUUAACAUUCUUUUAUUUGCAAAAUGAAGUGUAUUUAUUUCUGAUUUCCUGAACAAUUUGGCUUCAUUGUAAUGAGGUUAAUGAUCUUUGAAAAACCAUGAUUAUGAACAUACAAUUACUUUGUCUUGAGCUGAUCAGAAAACUGUGGUAGUGAUGGUUGAUUGGCGUUUAUAUUUGUUCAAGCUUGACAACCUUAUCGCCUUUAUUUUCUAAUAUAUAUUUCUCAUAACAGAUAAGAACAAAGAUUAAAUUGUAAGAAGGGUUGCUUAUAAGAGAGCAUACAGUACAUCUGAAACUGCUGAGACGUAAGGUUUUUCACUAUAUUACCGACCAGGUACAUUGUUCUCAGCGAACUGUCAUUCUAAAGAAGAAAACAAAUCAAUCAUCAUUUGCCUUUUUCGUGUGUGUGUGUGUGAGAAAUAUUAACAUUUGCUGUUUUUCAGAUCAGCUGCUAUAGAAGACAGACUGAAACCACCUCUGUUAUAGAGAUUUUUGAACCAGGCCUAAUGGAGGGUGAUUCGGUCAAUCUUGGAAGAAAAACAUUAGCAAUGUGUCCAUUCCAGGUGGCUAAUUUGUGCUUCCAUUCAGUCAUUCAAGUUAAAAAAAAACUGUUAUUUAACCUUUUUUUUUGUAAAGCUACAAGGCCACACCAUCUACAUCUUGGCUCCUCCCUCCCUCGACUCCACAGUGUGUUGUCAGCACUGGGGUGCUCUGGGUCUGUGCCAUAGCAUUUCAGUCUUUUUUCAUUUAUUAUGGUUUUUGUAUAAUGCAUUAAAAUGUACUUGAGUAUGUUUGUAGUAAUACAAAUAUACUAUAAACAUACUUGAAUUUCAAGUGCAUUUUAAUACUUUUAAUAGUAUGUUUUGUUUUUCACCAAGGUAUAUAUGCUGCUGUACUUUUUUUAAUGUACUUUAUGAAUA
Long non-coding RNA from Onychostoma macrolepis, 1305 nucleotides. RefSeq lists it as uncharacterized. The transcript is spliced from 4 exons. NCBI's taxonomy places the organism in Eukaryota, Metazoa, Chordata, Actinopteri, Cypriniformes, Cyprinidae. The record is from RefSeq and is a predicted model, not a curated record.